UGGGGAAUUUUGGACAAUGGGCGAAAGCCUGAUCCAGCCAUGCCGCGUGAGUGAAGAAGGCCUUCGGGUUGUAAAGCUCUUUUAGUCGGAAAGAAAAGAUCAUAAUGAACAAUUAUGAUUCAUGACGGUACCGACAGAAAUAGCACCGGCUAACUACGUGCCAGCAGCCGCGGUAAUACGUAGGGUGCGAGCGUUAAUCGGAAUUACUGGGCGUAAAGGGUGCGCAGGCGGUUUUGUAAGUCAGAUGUGAAAUCCCCGGGCUUAACCUGGGAAUUGCGUUUGAAACUGCAAGACUAGAGUGCAGCAGAGGGGAGUGGAAUUCCAUGUGUAGCAGUGAAAUGCGUAGAGAUGUGGAAGAACACCGAUGGCGAAGGCAGCUCCCGUGGGUUGACACUGACGCUC
This 402-nucleotide ribosomal RNA is filed under the name uncultured bacterium. RNAcentral describes it as "bacterial SSU rRNA". It matches the Rfam family "Bacterial small subunit ribosomal RNA", at positions 355 to 748 of the family's 1533-position model. The record is from RNAcentral.